RNAcentral lists this long non-coding RNA (1861 nucleotides) under Triticum aestivum (bread wheat). Its description in RNAcentral is "long non-coding RNA (TAES_LNC015263)". The record is from RNAcentral. Lineage: Eukaryota; Viridiplantae; Streptophyta; Magnoliopsida; Poales; Poaceae.
AGAGAAUGGUCUGAGUCGAGUCAAGCAAAACGAUCAGCACCGGCCAAGCUGGCCUGGUUAAGGCCCUUUUGUUUCGGGAAACACUUUAUAUCAGGCGUCUGAAUUCUCUUCAUCGUCAGACCCCUUUUUCUCAGUUGAUUCACUUUUGAUCUCACGGUCCAGAUAUCAUUUGGAACAGCCCAUCUUCCACGCAAAAACAAUAGUAAACGGAGAAAUCCUCACGAUCCCUAAAUCCCGCAGAUUAUCCUCGCACCCGUUUCCUUCCUCCACUCCCGUCGCCGCCGUUUCCUUAUUCGUCGCCCGAUUAGUGCUCGCCAUUCUUCACCACGCCGUGGAUGAGCUGCUCACCUCCCCUUCGUCCCUGGGCUUCUUGUGGAAGGCUGAGCUGUCGAUCUGUCUGCAGCGGUAGCAUAUCCUCCCUCAGGCGGCCAUGAUGGCCUUCUUGUGAGCAGCUCGCCGAUCUGUACCUGAUUUUGCAACUCCGUCUCUCAUUCGGUCAUGAAUAAUGAUGGUUCAAUUUCUGCCACUACCCUCCCUACUGCUAAUCACCUAAUCUUUACGGCAAGGAUUCUAAUAUUCACUUUUGGAUUUGUAUAUAUGCUUCCACUAGGCCACACGUGUUGUGCUUACAAGAUUUGUUUUUGCUACAGAGAUCGAUGCUUCCUAUAAAUCCGCUACGUGCUUGUACUUGCGUAUGGAUUGGCAAUACAAGCAUGCUUCUCAGGUUCCACACUUCUUCCUGCUGUAACCACUACCCCCUUUUGCUUUUUUGAAUGAAUGUAGCAUACUUCUGCUUCUUUAGAGUUUCCAGCAUUUCAACCAUGCUUCCAUUUUUUAUACUCUUGUUUUAUGUUAGAUAACAUGAAAUUGAUGCUCGCAAAUAUCCAUGCUCUGGAAGUAUUGUACUUCAGUCAAGAUAGAUUGUAUCAAUAGUCCAGAAUUAGGUUGACAAAUUAGGGGUUUUUUUUGCAUUGGAAACAAUUUAUUCUUAUACAUGUUUCCAGCUAUAUUGACACAUACUAUUUUAAUAUUAUCUAGUCAAUUGUAUGCUCUUAACUUAUUUGCGAAGCACAACUUUUCCUCAUCCAAUCAUGCUAGCAAUUAAAAAAAAUCCAUGCUUAGAUUGUGCUUAAUAUAUGUUUCGAUAUAAUGAAGCCGAUGCUUCCUACUUCUAUUUCUUACAUAUAUCUCUAUGGUAUAGCGAAUUUUGCUUUAAGCAUUGUAAGUGCAUGCUUAUUUUAUCGUAAAAUUAUUUUCAUGGAACCAUUAGCAGAAAUAUGUGCUUCAACCACUGCCUGAUGGAACCAUUAGCAGAAAUAUGUGCUUCAACGAUUGCCGGUGUUGUUUCUAUUCGUAAAAUUUUAUUGUACAUCUAUUUUUGCACAUUUUAUUGUAUCAACAACUAUCAGUGUGUGCUUUCUUCUUUCUCACUGAAUGCUUCUAAUGUACAGACACAUCCACCAGAUUCCAAAUGAGCUUCUUUGUUGUCCGCAAGAUGGGAUGCAAUGACGUUGAAUGUGCUAUAACUGAGACAAAUGAGUCACUGUUCUAAGUUGUCUGUUGUACUGGAACAACAGUUGUCCAUGACCAGCUUGUGAAAAGUAUUGCUGUAAUAGGCUUCUGUUUAAUUGCAAAGAGAAUUGUAAUAUUUUCUGCUUACCAUAUCAAACAAAUUCGAGGCUUAAUCAUUCUUGUUGUGCUUACUGAUGAUUUCUUUGUGAAGCAAAUGUUUCCAUUAUACAAGAAAAAUGCUUCCUUUACACGAAAAUUUUGUUUUCAUCUCCAAAAAAUAUAACAUAGAUUAAAUCCUUCCAUUGAACAAUAUUUUUCUGAUGCACCACGAAGCAUAUGCACCCAUCAG